CCUACGGGAGGCAGCAGUAGGGAAUUUUCCACAAUGGGCGAAAGCCUGAUGGAGCAACGCCGCGUGGGUGAAGAAGGUCUUCGGAUCGUAAAACCCUGUUGUUAGAGAAGAAAGUGCGUGAGAGUAACUGUUCACGUUUCGACGGUAUCUAACCAGAAAGCCACGGCUAACUACGUGCCAGCAGCCGCGGUAAUACGUAGGUGGCAAGCGUUAUCCGGAUUGAUUGGGCGUAAAGGGAACGCAGGCGGUCUUUUAAGUCUGAUGUGAAAGCCUUCGGCUUAACCGGAGUAGUGCAUUGGAAACUGGGAGACUUGAGUGCAGAAGAGGAGAGUGGAACUCCAUGUGUAGCGGGGAAAUGCGUAGAUAUAUGGAAGAACACCAGUGGCGAAAGCGGCUCUCUGGUCUGUAACUGACGCUGAGGUUCGAAAGCGUGGGUAGCAAACAGGAUUAGAUACCCGAGUAGUC
Molecule: ribosomal RNA, 465 nt
Filed under: uncultured bacterium
Lineage: Bacteria
Description: partial 16S ribosomal RNA
Rfam family: Bacterial small subunit ribosomal RNA
Source: RNAcentral